UGAGGAACAUGACCUUCGGCGGGGGAUAGCCGGCCCAACGGCCGGGUAAUACCGCGUACGACCUUCCGGGGACAUCCCUGGAUGGUGAAAGCAGCAAUGCGCCGAUGGAGUGCCUCGCGGCCUAUCAGCUAGUUGGUGGGGUAACGGCUCACCAAGGCGACGACGGGUAGCUGGUCUGAGAGGAUGGCCAGCCACAUUGGGACUGAGAUACGGCCCAGACUCCUACGGGAGNAG
RNAcentral lists this ribosomal RNA (234 nucleotides) under uncultured bacterium. RNAcentral's name for it is "partial 16S ribosomal RNA". It matches the Rfam family "Bacterial small subunit ribosomal RNA", at positions 118 to 347 of the family's 1533-position model. The record is from RNAcentral.